GGCAGCAGUGGGGAAUAUUGGACAAUGGGCGAAAGCCUGAUCCAGCCAUGCCGCGUGUGUGAAGAAGGCCUUUUGGUUGUAAAGCACUUUAAGCGAGGAGGAGGCUACUUAGAUUAAUACUCUAGGAUAGUGGACGUUACUCGCAGAAUAAGCACCGGCUAACUCUGUGCCAGCAGCCGCGGUAAUACAGAGGGUGCGAGCGUUAAUCGGAUUUACUGGGCGUAAAGCGUGCGUAGGCGGCUUUUUAAGUCGGAUGUGAAAUCCCUGAGCUUAACUUAGGAAUUGCAUUCGAUACUGGGAAGCUAGAGUAUGGGAGAGGAUGGUAGAAUUCCGGGUGUAGCGGUGAAAUGCGUAGAGAUCUGGAGGAAUACCGAUGGCGAAGGCAGCCAUCUGGCCUAAUACUGACGCUGAGGUACGAAAGCAUGGGGAGCAAACAGGAUUAGAUACCCUGGUAGUCCACGCCCUAAACGAUGCGAACUGGAUGUUGGGUGCAAUUUGGCACGCAGUAUCGAAGCUAACGCGUUAAGUUCGCCGCCUGGGGAGUACGGUCGCAAGACUGAAACUCAAAGGAAUUGACGG
RNAcentral lists this ribosomal RNA (579 nucleotides) under uncultured bacterium. RNAcentral describes it as "bacterial SSU rRNA". It matches the Rfam family "Bacterial small subunit ribosomal RNA", at positions 347 to 916 of the family's 1533-position model. The record is from RNAcentral.